RNAcentral lists this transfer RNA (66 nucleotides) under Mellinus arvensis (field digger wasp). RNAcentral describes it as "tRNA-Leu". It matches the Rfam family "tRNA". From Rfam's summary of the family: Transfer RNA (tRNA) molecules are approximately 80 nucleotides in length. Their secondary structure includes four short double-helical elements and three loops (D, anti-codon, and T loops). Lineage: Eukaryota; Metazoa; Arthropoda; Insecta; Hymenoptera; Crabronidae. The record is from RNAcentral.
UUUAAUGUGGCAGAUUAGUGCGAUGGAUUUAAGAUCCAUUUAUGAAAAUUUAAUUUUCUAUUAAAA